This 480-nucleotide ribosomal RNA is filed under the name Alternaria gaisen. RNAcentral describes it as "eukaryotic LSU rRNA". The stretch from base 120 to 273 matches the Rfam family "5.8S ribosomal RNA". Lineage: Eukaryota; Fungi; Ascomycota; Dothideomycetes; Pleosporales; Pleosporaceae. The record is from RNAcentral.
GAAAUUAUUCACCCUUGUCUUUUGCGUACUUCUUGUUUCCUUGGUGGGUUCGCCCACCACUAGGACAAACAUAAACCUUUUGUAAUUGCAAUCAGCGUCAGUAACAAAUUAAUAAUUACAACUUUCAACAACGGAUCUCUUGGUUCUGGCAUCGAUGAAGAACGCAGCGAAAUGCGAUAAGUAGUGUGAAUUGCAGAAUUCAGUGAAUCAUCGAAUCUUUGAACGCACAUUGCGCCCUUUGGUAUUCCAAAGGGCAUGCCUGUUCGAGCGUCAUUUGUACCCUCAAGCUUUGCUUGGUGUUGGGCGUCUUGUCUCUAGCUUUGCUGGAGACUCGCCUUAAAGUAAUUGGCAGCCGGCCUACUGGUUUCGGAGCGCAGCACAAGUCGCACUCUCUAUCAGCAAAGGCCUAGCAUCCAUUAAGCCUUUUUUCAACUUUUGACCUCGGAUCAGGUAGGGAUACCCGCUGAACUUAAGCAUAUC